This is a non-coding RNA of Caenorhabditis elegans, 21 nucleotides long. NCBI's taxonomy places the organism in Eukaryota, Metazoa, Nematoda, Chromadorea, Rhabditida, Rhabditidae. The record is from Ensembl.
UACCUGAAAUACCUGAAAAUG